CGGAAGGUCCGGGCGUUAUCCGGAUUUAUUGGGUUUAAAGGGAGCGUAGGCCGGAGAUUAAGCGUGUUGUGAAAUGUAGACGCUCAACGUCUGCACUGCAGCGCGAACUGGUUUCCUUGAGUACGCACAAAGUGGGCGGAAUUCGUGGUGUAGCGGUGAAAUACUUAGAUAUCACGAAAGAACUCCGAUUGCGAAGGCAGCUCACUGGAGCGCAACUGACGCUGAAGCUCGAAAGUGCGGGUAUCGA
This 247-nucleotide ribosomal RNA is filed under the name uncultured bacterium. Its description in RNAcentral is "partial 16S ribosomal RNA". It matches the Rfam family "Bacterial small subunit ribosomal RNA", at positions 526 to 771 of the family's 1533-position model. The record is from RNAcentral.